Molecule: non-coding RNA, 202 nt
Organism: Oryza glumipatula
Lineage: Eukaryota; Viridiplantae; Streptophyta; Magnoliopsida; Poales; Poaceae
Source: Rfam
AAUAAACGUUGGGUUUCCAUAUCUAACGUUUGACCGUCCGUGUUAUUUGAAAAAUUAUGAAAAAAAAUUAAAAAGAUAAGUCACGCAUAAAGUAUUAAUCAUGUUUUAUCAUCUAACAAUAAUGAAAAUACUAAUUAUAAAAAAAUUUUAUAUAACACGGAUAGUCAAAUAUUGGAUACGGAAAUCUAGGGUUUAUUUUUUU